This 1013-nucleotide long non-coding RNA is filed under the name Takifugu rubripes (torafugu). Its description in RNAcentral is "lncRNA (ENSTRUG00000032042.1)". The record is from RNAcentral. Lineage: Eukaryota; Metazoa; Chordata; Actinopteri; Tetraodontiformes; Tetraodontidae.
GUAUCGCUGGAUCAGUUACACCAGUCUUGAAUGCCUUUCCAGACUCCACUGUAGGCCACAUCUCACUUUCAUUUGCUUAAAGAUCCACUUGCUGUAUCACACUUCAAAGAUUUGACAUUAUUCUCCUCUUUUCAAAGCUCACAGAUGCCUUUAAAGCACUGAAUGGUUUUAAGUUCCUCAAUGUGACUGGCUUCAGGCUGGCCAACCACAUUGUUGACUUUGAGGCCGAGGUCAGUGUCAAGUUCGCUACUUCCAGACUUCAAGGCAUCAAAACUGCUUUAGAAACACAACUUGGAGCGACAAUUUCCAUCACCACUUUAGGUCUGGUUACCAUAGAAGCCCCAAAGACCAGAGUAUGCUACCAGUCGUCUCCGGUGCUGAAAUGCACAUUAGAGGAGAUGACAGAGAGCGCCGGCUGGAAGAUGAGCAACAGGUCCAACAGCUUUGAGCUCAGCAAUGGCAGCGUGGUGCAGCUGAACCACCAGUGUGCCACAGACACAUUCAAGUCCUGUACUGAGGUGACACUCAGGAAGGUACCGGCUUUCUGGGCAGGUGGGCACGGCUCGAGGUUGAUUAAGCUGAACUCAAAUUUUGAUGUAUAUGUACAUUUUUUUGUACUUAUUUGCCAUUUUUAUGUGGUAAAUUAAGAUUAGUGAGAGACACACACUCAUUCAUCACCAAUACACAGAUGACAGAGAAAACUGACACCCACACAAAUGUUUUGGGACUCACAGGUUAAAAAUAAAUAAAUAAAUAAAUAAAAGAAAGAAAGGAAAGAGAAGAAACUUGGGUCCUGGACAGGGAUGCCCAUGUGUCAAGCUCCAGAAACUGGAUCUCUUUUCAUCUGUACAGAGCUGCUGGUGCACUAUUAAAGUUGGCAAUGAGCAUUUCAAUAUAAAUAUGUCAAAGUGCAUUUUAGAGACUGAAUAUUGUCCAAAGAGACUUGAUUUAAUUUCAUAAUGGUCCUAUAAUGUUCCCGGUUCUUCAGUGCACAACAAAUAUCAGAUGAUGUG